This 481-nucleotide ribosomal RNA is filed under the name uncultured bacterium. RNAcentral describes it as "partial 16S ribosomal RNA". It matches the Rfam family "Bacterial small subunit ribosomal RNA", at positions 28 to 507 of the family's 1533-position model. The record is from RNAcentral.
GAUGAACGCUGGCGGCGUGCUUAACACAUGCAAGUCGAACGAAGCAUUUAAGACAGAUUCCUUCGGUUUGAAGUCUUUUAUGACUGAGUGGCGGACGGGUGAGUAACGCGUGGGUAACCUGCCUCAUACAGGGGGAUAGCAGCUGGAAACGGCUGUUAAUACCGCAUAAGCGCACAGUACCACAUGGUACAGUGUGAAAAACUCCGGUGGUAUGAGAUGGACCCGCGUCUGAUUAGCUUGUUGGCGGGGUAACGGCCCACCAAGGCGACGAUCAGUAGCCGACCUGAGAGGGUGACCGGCCACAGUGGGACUGAGACACGGCCCAGACUCCUACGGGAGGCAGCAGUGGGGAAUAUUGCACAAUGGAGGAAACUCUGAUGCAGCGACGCCGCGUGAGUGAAGAAGUAGUUCGCUAUGUAAAGCUCUAUCAGCAGGGAAGAUAGUGACGGUACCUGACUAAGAAGCUCCGGCUAAAUACGUG